Molecule: ribosomal RNA, 1507 nt
Filed under: Lactococcus lactis subsp. lactis
Lineage: Bacteria; Bacillati; Bacillota; Bacilli; Lactobacillales; Streptococcaceae
Description: 16S ribosomal RNA
Rfam family: Bacterial small subunit ribosomal RNA
Source: RNAcentral
UUUGAUCCUGGCUCAGGACGAACGCUGGCGGCGUGCCUAAUACAUGCAAGUUGAGCGCUGAAGGUUGGUACUUGUACCAACUGGAUGAGCAGCGAACGGGUGAGUAACGCGUGGGGAAUCUGCCUUUGAGCGGGGGACAACAUUUGGAAACGAAUGCUAAUACCGCAUAAAAACUUUAAACACAAGUUUUAAGUUUGAAAGAUGCAAUUGCAUCACUCAAAGAUGAUCCCGCGUUGUAUUAGCUAGUUGGUGAGGUAAAGGCUCACCAAGGCGAUGAUACAUAGCCGACCUGAGAGGGUGAUCGGCCACAUUGGGACUGAGACACGGCCCAAACUCCUACGGGAGGCAGCAGUAGGGAAUCUUCGGCAAUGGACGAAAGUCUGACCGAGCAACGCCGCGUGAGUGAAGAAGGUUUUCGGAUCGUAAAACUCUGUUGGUAGAGAAGAACGUUGGUGAGAGUGGAAAGCUCAUCAAGUGACGGUAACUACCCAGAAAGGGACGGCUAACUACGUGCCAGCAGCCGCGGUAAUACGUAGGUCCCGAGCGUUGUCCGGAUUUAUUGGGCGUAAAGCGAGCGCAGGUGGUUUAUUAAGUCUGGUGUAAAAGGCAGUGGCUCAACCAUUGUAUGCAUUGGAAACUGGUAGACUUGAGUGCAGGAGAGGAGAGUGGAAUUCCAUGUGUAGCGGUGAAAUGCGUAGAUAUAUGGAGGAACACCGGUGGCGAAAGCGGCUCUCUGGCCUGUAACUGACACUGAGGCUCGAAAGCGUGGGGAGCAAACAGGAUUAGAUACCCUGGUAGUCCACGCCGUAAACGAUGAGUGCUAGAUGUAGGGAGCUAUAAGUUCUCUGUAUCGCAGCUAACGCAAUAAGCACUCCGCCUGGGGAGUACGACCGCAAGGUUGAAACUCAAAGGAAUUGACGGGGGCCCGCACAAGCGGUGGAGCAUGUGGUUUAAUUCGAAGCAACGCGAAGAACCUUACCAGGUCUUGACAUACUCGUGCUAUUCCUAGAGAUAGGAGGUUCCUUCGGGACACGGGAUACAGGUGGUGCAUGGUUGUCGUCAGCUCGUGUCGUGAGAUGUUGGGUUAAGUCCCGCAGCGAGCGCAACCCCUAUUGUUAGUUGCCAUCAUUAAGUUGGGCACUCUAACGAGACUGCCGGUGAUAAACCGGAGGAAGGUGGGGAUGACGUCAAAUCAUCAUGCCCCUUAUGACCUGGGCUACACACGUGCUACAAUGGAUGGUACAACGAGUCGCGAGACAGUGAUGUUUAGCUAAUCUCUUAAAACCAUUCUCAGUUCGGAUUGUAGGCUGCAACUCGCCUACAUGAAGUCGGAAUCGCUAGUAAUCGCGGAUCAGCACGCCGCGGUGAAUACGUUCCCGGGCCUUGUACACACCGCCCGUCACACCACGGGAGUUGGGAGUACCCGAAGUAGGUUGCCUAACCGCAAGGAGGGCGCUUCCUAAGGUAAGACCGAUGACUGGGGUGAAGUCGUAACAAGCUAACCGUA